Molecule: ribosomal RNA, 748 nt
Filed under: uncultured cyanobacterium
Lineage: Bacteria; Bacillati; Cyanobacteriota
Description: bacterial SSU rRNA
Rfam family: Bacterial small subunit ribosomal RNA
Source: RNAcentral
AGAGUUUGAUCAUGGCUCAGGAUGAACGCUGGCGGUCUGCUUAACACAUGCAAGUCGAACGAAUCCCUUUGGGGAUGAGUGGCGGACGGGUGAGUAACGCGUGAGAAUCUGCCAAAAGGACUGGGACAACCACUGGAAACGGUGGCUAAUACCGGAUGAGCCGCAACGUAAAAGAGGAAACUCGCCUCUUGAGGAGCUCGCGUCUGAUUAGCUAGUUGGUAGGGUAAAAGCUUACCAAGGCAUCGAUCAGUAGCUGGUCUGAGAGGAUGACCAGCCACACUGGGACUGAGACACGGCCCAGACUCCUACGGGAGGCAGCAGUGGGGAAUUUUCCGCAAUGGGCGAAAGCCUGACGGAGCAAGACCGCGUGAGGGAAGAAGGCUCUUGGGUCGUAAACCUCUUUUGUCAGGGAAGAACACAAUGACGGUACCUGAAGAAUCAGCAUCGGCUAACUCCGUGCCAGCAGCCGCGGUAAUACGGAGGAUGCAAGCGUUAUCCGGAAUUAUUGGGCGUAAAGCGUCCGUAGGUGGUUUUGCAAGUCGGCUGUCAAAGCACAGGGCUUAACCCUGUAAAGGCAGUGGAAACUACAAGACUCGAGUGCAGUAGGGGCAGAGGGAAUUCCCAGUGUAGCGGUGAAAUGCGUAGAGAUUGGGAAGAACACCCGUGGCGAAAGCGCUCUGCUGGACUGCAACUGACACUCAGGGACGAAAGCUAGGGGAGCGAAUGGGAUUAGAUACCCCAGUAGUCC